This 382-nucleotide ribosomal RNA is filed under the name uncultured eukaryote. RNAcentral's name for it is "partial 18S ribosomal RNA". It matches the Rfam family "Eukaryotic small subunit ribosomal RNA", at positions 592 to 976 of the family's 1831-position model. The record is from RNAcentral.
UGUAAGCGUAUACCAAAGUUGUUGCAGUUAAAACGCUCGUAGUCGGAAUUUGGCAGUUCCGGAUGUGUGCACGUCGUGUGCGCACUUCGCGGGGAUUGCUUUUGUGGUCUUGCGUAGGAUGAGGCACUUUUAUUAGUGAACGUCCUCACGCAACCACUUUUUACUGUGAGAAAAUCAGAGUGCUCAAAGCAGGCAUUUGCCGUGAAUGUAUUAGCAUGGAAUAAUAGAAUAGGACUUGGUUCUAUUUUGUUGGUUUGUUGGGACUGAGUAAUGAUUAAGAGGGACAGUUGGGGGCAUUUGUAUUUCGGUGCUAGAGGUGAAAUUCUUAGAUUACCGAAAGACAAACUGGUGCGAAAGCGUCUGCCAAGGAUGUUUUCAUUGA